Non-coding RNA from Legionella adelaidensis, 352 nucleotides. It matches the Rfam family "Bacterial RNase P class A". From Rfam's summary of the family: Ribonuclease P (RNase P) is a ubiquitous endoribonuclease, found in archaea, bacteria and eukarya as well as chloroplasts and mitochondria. Its best characterised activity is the generation of mature 5'-ends of tRNAs by cleaving the 5'-leader elements of precursor-tRNAs. NCBI's taxonomy places the organism in Bacteria, Pseudomonadati, Pseudomonadota, Gammaproteobacteria, Legionellales, Legionellaceae. The record is from Rfam.
CCAGUCGGUCAGACAAUCGCUUUUUGCUAAGGCAAAAGGAGGAAAGUCCGGGCUCCAGAGGGCAAAGUGCCAGGUAACGCCUGGGAGACGUGAGUCUACGGAAAGUGCCACAGAAAAUAUACCGCCUCAUUAGAGGUAAGGGUGAAAAGGUGCGGUAAGAGCGCACCGCGCGUUUGGUAACAAACGUGGCAGGGAAAACCCCACUCGGAGCAAGACCAAAUAGGGAUCCAAUGAUUUAUUCAUACGCAUGGCCCAUGCGGGAUCCGGGUAGGUCGCUUGAGGCAAAUGGUGACAUUUGUCCCAGAUGAAUGAUUGUCCACGACAGAACCCGGCUUAUCGACCGACUUUUAUU